UUUCCGUAGGUGAACCUGCGGAAGGAUCAUUAAAGAGAAUAUGCCCUUCGGGGUAGAUCUCCCACCCUUUGUUUAUAUUACCUUUGUUGCUUUGGCAGGCCCGUCUCCGGACCACCGGCUUCGGCUGGUCAGUGCUUGCCAGAGGACCCAAAACUCUUAUUAUUAAUGUCGUCUGAGUACUAUAUAAUAGUUAAAACUUUCAACAACGGAUCUCUUGGUUCUGGCAACGAUGAAGAACGCAGC
Molecule: unclassified non-coding RNA, 243 nt
Filed under: plant metagenome
Description: partial contains small subunit ribosomal RNA, internal transcribed spacer 1, and 5.8S ribosomal RNA
Rfam family: 5.8S ribosomal RNA (bases 195-243)
Source: RNAcentral